AACGAACGCUGGCGGCAGGCCUAACACAUGCAAGUCGAGCGGACCUUUCGGGGUCAGCGGCGGACGGGUGAGUAACGCGUGGGAAUAUGCCCUUCUCUACGGAAUAGUCCUGGGAAACUGGGGGUAAUACCGUAUACGCCCUUUGGGGGAAAGAUUUAUCGGGGAAGGAUUAGCCCGCGUUGGAUUAGGUAGUUGGUGGAGUAAUGGCCUACCAAGCCGACGAUCCAUAGCUGGUUUGAGAGGAUGAUCAGCCACACUGGGACUGAGACACGGCCCAGACUCCUACGGGAGGCAGCAGUGGGGAAUCUUAGACAAUGGGGGCAACCCUGAUCUAGCCAUGCCGCGUGAGUGAUGAAGGCCUUAGGGUUGUAAAGCUCUUUCAGCUGGGAAGAUAAUGACGGUACCAGCAGAAGAAGCCCCGGCUAACUCCGUG
This 433-nucleotide ribosomal RNA is filed under the name uncultured bacterium. RNAcentral's name for it is "partial 16S ribosomal RNA". It matches the Rfam family "Bacterial small subunit ribosomal RNA", at positions 29 to 507 of the family's 1533-position model. The record is from RNAcentral.